GCGAGGCCGGCAGCUGUGGAUCGAAGAUCGAUCGAUGCCCAGCUUGCAGAGCAAGAGAGCCGUAGUCUAGUCAUGUGUGCUUAUCAAAGGGCGGCUUACUGGGAGUUCCUUGGCAUUCUGUCCACCUCCUUGCUGAUCUUGCAGAAAGCCUCUCAAAUCUGUUUGUGUUUUUGGAGGUGGGCAUACUGCCAAUGGAGCUGUGUAGGCCUCCCUUUGUAAAGCCCACAUGACUCAAAUCAGAGCUUCCUCCCUAGAUUUGAUCAUCACUUGUGUCAGAAACGCCUUCAUUAAGCUUGCUUUGCUGCCUUUUCUUGCGUGUUCAUUUGUUGGGCCUUUUGAUGCCCUCUUGUGUUUUCUUGGCUGGGGUUAUUAAGGUUCAUCAUGGUCCAUGAUAUGCUUUUGGGGAAAGUUUUGGAGCGAGCUAUCUACACAUGGUAGUCUGAUCUGCUCUUUUGCCGACCUAAUUUAGUCUGCUUCCUUGAUGCCGGCCGGCCAUGGUGUUGGGGAAGUGAAGAUAGUUUUACCCCUUCCUCAUGCCAUUCUUUGGGAUCCGUCGUUUUCGCCGCUAAUCGUUCGUUUUGCGGCCAAGUUCUUCGGAAGGCUAACCCCGUAGUUCAUGGCUGCUUUCUUGCUGGUUUUGCAUGCAGUUCUGUUCUUCGAUCUUUGAUGGAGGUCAUCUCUGCAACAUCUGACUAUGAGACCAGGCUAGCAAUGAGAAUCUCGUGUAUACAGAACUUUUAUGCGCUUCAUGAUUUCACCCGCAGACCUCCCCUGACCCUGAGACACAGCUAGCUGUACAGUCUGUGACCGAAUGAAUUUUGUUUGUACUGGCUUUGGUCUUUUGAUUGGCAAAGAAGUGCUAGUAGUAUGGCAGUCAAAGGCCUGCUUCUCCUUCUAUCUCGUCUUGUAUAGCUUCUCUUCACCCAAUGCAUGGAAAAAUACAGUACAGUGGAGCUUGACUUGUUAUUAAUUAGGAAUAUGUAUCUGGAACUGUACGUUGUUUUUACUUAGUUUCAUUUGCAUCAAUGAUGAUUAAAUGCAUGA
Molecule: long non-coding RNA, 1044 nt
Organism: Panicum virgatum (switchgrass)
Lineage: Eukaryota; Viridiplantae; Streptophyta; Magnoliopsida; Poales; Poaceae
Exons: 2
Source: RefSeq, a predicted model, not a curated record